GACAAACGCUGGCGGCAUGCCUAACACAUGCAAGUCGAACGGACAGAACAGGGAAGCUUUUCGGAGUGGAACUGGAAAGUUAGUGGCGGAUGGGUGAGUAACGCGUGGACAACCUACCUUGUAAAGGGGAAUAACCUCGAGAAAUCGAAGCUAAUACCCCAUAAUAACCUUGCUUCGCAUGAAGUAAGGAGGAAAGGCGGCCUUAGCGCUGUCGAUACAAGAUGGGUCCGCGUCUGAUUAGCUAGUUGGUGAGGUAAAGGCUCACCAAGGCGACGAUCAGUAGCCGGCCUGAGAGGGUGAACGGCCACAUUGGGACUGAGACACGGCCCAAACUCCUACGGGAGGCAGCAGUGGGGAAUCUUCCGCAAUGGGCGAAAGCCUGACGGAGCAAUGCCGCGUGAGUGAAGAAGGCCCUCGGGUUGUAAAACUCUGUCCUUAUCGAAGAGAGAGUGUUGUAGUAACUGACAAUACUAGGACGGUAGAUGAGGAGGAAGCCCCGGCUAACUAUGUG
This 511-nucleotide ribosomal RNA is filed under the name uncultured bacterium. RNAcentral describes it as "partial 16S ribosomal RNA". It matches the Rfam family "Bacterial small subunit ribosomal RNA", at positions 28 to 507 of the family's 1533-position model. The record is from RNAcentral.